Molecule: ribosomal RNA, 465 nt
Filed under: Vreelandella stevensii
Lineage: Bacteria; Pseudomonadati; Pseudomonadota; Gammaproteobacteria; Oceanospirillales; Halomonadaceae
Description: partial 16S ribosomal RNA
Rfam family: Bacterial small subunit ribosomal RNA
Source: RNAcentral
CCUACGGGUGGCAGCAGUGGGGAAUAUUGGACAAUGGAGGGAACCCUGAUCCAGCCAUGCCGCGUGUGUGAAGAAGGCCCUCGGGUUGUAAAGCACUUUCAGUGAGGAAGAACGCCUGGUGGUUAAUACCCAUCAGGAAAGACAUCACUCACAGAAGAAGCACCGGCUAACUCCGUGCCAGCAGCCGCGGUAAUACGGAGGGUGCGAGCGUUAAUCGGAAUUACUGGGCGUAAAGCGCGCGUAGGUGGCUUGAUAAGCCGGUUGUGAAAGCCCCGGGCUCAACCUGGGAACGGCAUCCGGAACUGUCAAGCUAGAGUGCAGGAGAGGAAGGUAGAAUUCCCGGUGUAGCGGUGAAAUGCGUAGAGAUCGGGAGGAAUACCAGUGGCGAAGGCGGCCUUCUGGACUGACACUGACACUGAGGUGCGAAAGCGUGGGUAGCAAACAGGAUUAGAUACCCCUGUAGUC